UGGGGAACGCGAUCUCCCCACGAGGCGGCAGCCGAAGUAUCGC
Molecule: non-coding RNA, 43 nt
Filed under: unclassified sequences
Description: chromate-resist RNA
Rfam family: chrB-a RNA
Source: RNAcentral